CCCGUUCGGGGUUAGUGGCGGACGGGUGAGUAACACGUGGGAACGUGCCCUUUGGUACGGAACAACUCAGGGAAACUUGAGCUAAUACCGUAUAAGCCCUACUGGGGAAAGAUUUAUCGCCAUUGGAGCGGCCCGCGUCUGAUUAGCUAGUUGGUGAGGUAAAGGCUCACCAAGGCUACGAUCAGUAGCUGGUCUGAGAGGAUGAUCAGCCACAUUGGGACUGAGACACGGCCCAA
RNAcentral lists this ribosomal RNA (236 nucleotides) under uncultured bacterium. RNAcentral's name for it is "partial 16S ribosomal RNA". It matches the Rfam family "Bacterial small subunit ribosomal RNA", at positions 76 to 334 of the family's 1533-position model. The record is from RNAcentral.